Non-coding RNA from Chiloscyllium plagiosum (whitespotted bambooshark), 297 nucleotides. The record is from RefSeq and is a predicted model, not a curated record. Lineage: Eukaryota; Metazoa; Chordata; Chondrichthyes; Orectolobiformes; Hemiscylliidae.
ACAGAGUGAUCUCCUGGGGAUGCCUCUGUCGGACAUUGCUGUUUGAGCAUGAAGGAAAUCUCGGGUAUGAUGCCUCUGAUCGUGUACAGUCAUGUUUGAAGCAGAUGUUGAGCAGACAGCUGUGGCUGAUGUUCUGAUUAUGUUCUGUUAAUCUUUGUUCAUUCAUACCAUAGGUUCAUACGAAGUUUCAUAAUCGACAGGCACAUGCUCCUGGCAGUGACACCUCCUGUCUUAGCUUCUCAUACGAUGGCAACACCCUGGCCUCACGUGGUGGAGCUGACACAAUUGAAACCUGGG